Molecule: ribosomal RNA, 253 nt
Filed under: uncultured bacterium
Lineage: Bacteria
Description: partial 16S ribosomal RNA
Rfam family: Bacterial small subunit ribosomal RNA
Source: RNAcentral
UACGUAGGGUGCGAGCGUUGUCCGGAAUUAUUGGGCGUAAAGAGCUCGUAGGCGGUUUGUCACGUCGGAUGUGAAAUCCCGGGGCUUAACUCCGGGUCUGCAUUCGAUACGGGCUGACUAGAGUUCGGCAGGGGAGACUGGAAUUCCUGGUGUAGCGGUGAAAUGCGCAGAUAUCAGGAGGAACACCGGUGGCGAAGGCGGGUCUCUGGGCCGAUACUGACGCUGAGGCACGAAAGCGUGGGGAGCAAACAGG